This 765-nucleotide ribosomal RNA is filed under the name Acinetobacter johnsonii. RNAcentral describes it as "bacterial SSU rRNA". It matches the Rfam family "Bacterial small subunit ribosomal RNA", at positions 59 to 818 of the family's 1533-position model. The record is from RNAcentral. Lineage: Bacteria; Pseudomonadati; Pseudomonadota; Gammaproteobacteria; Moraxellales; Moraxellaceae.
CAGUCGAGCGGGGAAGGGUAGCUUGCUACCUGACCUAGCGGCGGACGGGUGAGUAAUGCUUAGGAAUCUGCCUAUUAGUGGGGGACAACAUUCCGAAAGGAAUGCUAAUACCGCAUACGCCCUACGGGGGAAAGCAGGGGAUCUUCGGACCUUGCGCUAAUAGAUGAGCCUAAGUCAGAUUAGCUAGUUGGUGGGGUAAAGGCCUACCAAGGCGACGAUCUGUAGCGGGUCUGAGAGGAUGAUCCGCCACACUGGGACUGAGACACGGCCCAGACUCCUACGGGAGGCAGCAGUGGGGAAUAUUGGACAAUGGGCGAAAGCCUGAUCCAGCCAUGCCGCGUGUGUGAAGAAGGCCUUUUGGUUGUAAAGCACUUUAAGCGAGGAGGAGGCUACUUGGAUUAAUACUCUAGGAUAGUGGACGUUACUCGCAGAAUAAGCACCGGCUAACUCUGUGCCAGCAGCCGCGGUAAUACAGAGGGUGCGAGCGUUAAUCGGAUUUACUGGGCGUAAAGCGUGCGUAGGCGGCUUUUUAAGUCGGAUGUGAAAUCCCUGAGCUUAACUUAGGAAUUGCAUUCGAUACUGGGAAGCUAGAGUAUGGGAGAGGAUGGUAGAAUUCCAGGUGUAGCGGUGAAAUGCGUAGAGAUCUGGAGGAAUACCGAUGGCGAAGGCAGCCAUCUGGCCUAAUACUGACGCUGAGGUACGAAAGCAUGGGGAGCAAACAGGAUUAGAUACCCUGGUAGUCCAUGCCGUAAACGAUGUCUACUA